Molecule: ribosomal RNA, 120 nt
Filed under: Notamacropus eugenii (tammar wallaby)
Lineage: Eukaryota; Metazoa; Chordata; Mammalia; Diprotodontia; Macropodidae
Source: RNAcentral
ACCCACAGCCACAUCACCUUAAAUCCAGCCAAAAUAUUCAUGAUCAUGAAAACUUAGCAAAGCUGGCCCUGAUUAGUACUUGGAUAGGAGAUUGUAUGGGAAUACAAGGUGCUGUAGUCU